CCUACGGGAGGCAGCAGUGGGGAAUAUUGCACAAUGGGGGAAACCCUGAUGCAGCGACGCCGCGUGCGCGAUGAAGUACCUCGGUGUGUAAAGCUCUAUCAGCAGGGAAGAAAAUGACGGUACCUGACGAAGAAGCCCCGGCUAACUACGUGCCAGCAGCCGCGGUAAUACGUAGGGGGCAAGCGUUAUCCGGAUUUACUGGGGGUAAAGGGAGCGUAGACGGUCCUGCAAGCCAGGUGUGAAAGCCCGGGGCUCAACCCCGGGACUGCGUGUGGAACUGUAUGGCUGGAGUGUCGGAGGGGCAGGCGGAAUUCGUGGUGUAGCGGUGAAAUGCGUAGAUAUUAGGAGGAACACCGGUGGCGAAGGCGGCCUGCUGGACGGCGACUGACGUUGAGGCUCGAAAGCGUGGGGAGCAAACAGGAUUAGAUACCCUUGUAGUC
This 440-nucleotide ribosomal RNA is filed under the name uncultured bacterium. RNAcentral's name for it is "partial 16S ribosomal RNA". It matches the Rfam family "Bacterial small subunit ribosomal RNA", at positions 338 to 795 of the family's 1533-position model. The record is from RNAcentral.